This is a non-coding RNA of Powellomyces hirtus, 73 nucleotides long. The record is from the annotation of a GenBank genome assembly. NCBI's taxonomy places the organism in Eukaryota, Fungi, Chytridiomycota, Chytridiomycetes, Spizellomycetales, Powellomycetaceae.
GGUCCUAUGGCCCAAUGGUUAAGGCGCGCGCCUACGAAGCGCGAGAUUCCAAGUUCGAUCCUUGGUAGGAUCG